Molecule: ribosomal RNA, 403 nt
Filed under: uncultured bacterium
Lineage: Bacteria
Description: bacterial SSU rRNA
Rfam family: Bacterial small subunit ribosomal RNA
Source: RNAcentral
UGGGGAAUAUUGCACAAUGGGCGAAAGCCUGAUGCAGCGACGCCGCGUGGAGGAUGAAGGCCUUCGGGUCGUAAACUCCUGUCUGGGGGGAUGAAUUUUGACAGUACCCCCGGAGGAAGCCCCGGCUAACUACGUGCCAGCAGCCGCGGUAAUACGUAGGGGGCGAGCGUUGUCCGGAAUUACUGGGCGUAAAGCGCGCGCAGGUGGCUUGUUAAGUCAGGUGUCAAAAUGCGGAGCUCAACUCCGCAGCGCACUUGAAACUGGCAGGCUUGAGUGCAGGAGAGGAAAGUGGAAUUCCUAGUGUAGCGGUGAAAUGCGUAGAUAUUAGGAGGAACACCAGUGGCGAAGGCGACUUUCUGGACUGCAACUGACACUGAGGCGCGAAAGCUAGGGGAGCAAACAG